This 452-nucleotide ribosomal RNA is filed under the name uncultured bacterium. RNAcentral's name for it is "bacterial SSU rRNA". It matches the Rfam family "Bacterial small subunit ribosomal RNA", at positions 9 to 446 of the family's 1533-position model. The record is from RNAcentral.
GAGUUUGAUCGUGGCUCAGGAUGAACGCUGGCGGCGUGCCUAACACAUGCAAGUCGAACGGAGUUAUUCGAGGAAGUUUUCGGAUGGAAUCAAAUAACUUAGUGGCGGACGGGUGAGUAACGCGUGGGAAACCUGCCCUGUACCGGGGGAUAACACUUAGAAAUAGGUGCUAAUACCGCAUAAGCGCACGGGACCGCAUGGUCCAGUGUGAAAAACUCCGGUGGUACAGGAUGGUCCCGCGUCUGAUUAGCCAGUUGGCGGGGUAACGGCCCACCAAAGCGACGAUCAGUAGCCGGCCUGAGAGGGUGGACGGCCACAUUGGGACUGAGACACGGCCCAAACUCCUACGGGAGGCAGCAGUGGGGAAUAUUGCACAAUGGGGGAAACCCUGAUGCAGCGACGCCGCGUGAGUGAAGAAGUAUUUCGGUAUGUAAAGCUCUAUCAGCAGGGAA